UUAGGUACCGUGUUUGACAUGUAUUAGAUUUAAAUUAUAAUUAUUCAAAAUGUUAUGUCCGUGUUCCCGGACUUCGGGAUAGCAUCCCAUACCUCAUUGGGCGAUUCCCCUGUCGCUCACCCCUCACUCUUCCCCCCUUUUAGGUGAGAUCGAUGAGCAGGAGUGAUCUUAUCGGACUUGGGCUUCUUGGUGCUAUUUGGGCUUUUGGGCUUUUACCACUAUCGGGCUUUGAACUUCUAUCACUCUUAUCGUUUUAUCGCUUUUGGGCCUUUGGGCUUCUAUCUAUCGUUUAUGUUUAUUUCCAUUUCAGACUUUCGGUUUAUGUCGUACUUUAUAUUUCGGAUGUUAUCGUUAUCGGGCCUUUUGGCCUUAUGUCAUCGUAUUGACUUUUAUAUUAUAAUGGAGAUUAAUAUUAUUAUUUGAGUUGUAUUAUUAUUUUAUUUCCGCUUUUAUUUAUUAUUAUAUCUCGAAAGUGACGGGUGUCACAAUAUCCUUCAAGCUAAAUUCAGUUCAAGAUUCAUCCAGACGCUUGAAGAGAAGGUCGCCAACAGCCGCUUAACCCAAGACUGGUCAACUCUUCGAGUUCACCUCCAACCUCUGCAUUAUUGACCAAACUGCCAACCAAACCGACCAGAGCUCACCGGAGAAAAGGGUCUGGCCAGGUGCAUUGGCUGAGAUCAAACGACAUCGCUUCAUCUAGUCCAGCUACAAACUGCUCAUGUGUGGGAUCAUUACCGGACCGGAUCCGUUUUGAAAGCAUGAUUUUUGGCGAUGAUAAUGAAAGAGAUAAAGGAGGAGAACCUGAAACGAUGGAGAGAGAGAGAGAGAACGGACAUAACAGCGACAAAGAAGAUGGUGGGUCUCACGACAAUGAUGAAAGCAUGAUUUUUUAUGAGAUGAAAGCAUGAUUUUUUAUGAUGUGGGGGGUUAUGAUGGAAGAUGUGCUAGAUGAAGAAGAUGGUUGGUGUUUGGUCUGAAAAGGAAAGAAACGAUGAUGCCCUUUCACGUGGAUCAGUCUUUUAGGUGAGAUCGAUGAGCAGGAGUGAUCUUAUCGAACUUGGGCUUUUUGGUGCUAUUUGGGCUUUUGGGCUUUUACCACUAUCGGGCUUUGGACUUCUAUCACUCUUAUCGUUUUAUCACUUUUGGGCCUUUGGGCUUCUAUCUAUCGUUUAUGUUUAUUUCCAUUUCAGACUUUCGGUUUAUGUCGUACUUUAUAUUUCGGAUGUUAUCGUUAUCGGGCCUUUUGGCCUUAUGUCAUCGUAUUGACUUUUAUAUUAUAAUGGAGAUUAUAAUUAUUAUUUGAGUUGUAUUAUUAUUUUAUUUCCGCUUUUAUUUAUUAUUAUAUCUCGAAAGUGACGGGUGUCACAAUCUGGUAUCAGAGCGGGUUCCGUCCCGGCCCCGACCCGGGAUGGCGAUUCGUGGAGACUCGGUUUUGACUCGAUUUUAAUUCGGUUUUAUACGGUUUUGGAAGUUUUAGUGGAGAUUUGAGAAUUUUAAAAAUUAAAACCAAUAGCACCGUUUCGUCCGAUAUUACUCCUUUAAUUAAUGAAUUCAUUGUUCAUCGGAAGUUGACUUAUUUUGUGACACCCGUCACUUUCGAGAUAUAAUAAUAAAUAAAAGCGGAAAUAAAAUAAUAAUACAACUCAAAUAAUAAUAUUAAUCUCCAUUAU
Molecule: long non-coding RNA, 1670 nt
Filed under: Brassica napus (rape)
Lineage: Eukaryota; Viridiplantae; Streptophyta; Magnoliopsida; Brassicales; Brassicaceae
Description: long non-coding RNA (BNAP_LNC012211)
Source: RNAcentral